AAGACACUAGUAAAAGAGAUAUUACACUGCUUUGUCAGGGCAGUAUCGCGGGUUGAACCCCCGCGUGCCUUA
RNAcentral lists this transfer RNA (72 nucleotides) under Cryptopsaras couesii (triplewart seadevil). Its description in RNAcentral is "tRNA-Asp". The record is from RNAcentral. Lineage: Eukaryota; Metazoa; Chordata; Actinopteri; Lophiiformes; Ceratiidae.